UGGGGAAUAUUGCACAAUGGGCGCAAGCCUGAUGCAGCCAUGCCGCGUGUGUGAAUUAUGCCUUCGGGUUGUAAAGCACUUUCAGCGGGGAGGAAGGCGAUAAGGUUAAUAACCUUGUCGAUUGCCGUUACCCGCAGAAGAAGCACCGUCUAAUUCCGUGCCAGCAGCCGCGGUAAUACGGAGGGUGCAAGCGUUAAUCGGAAUUACUGGGCGUAAAGCGCACGCAGGCGGUCUGUCAAGUCGGAUGUGAAAUCCCCGGGCUUAACCUGGGAACUGCAUUCGAAACUGGCAGGCUAGAGUCUUGUAGAGGGGGGAAGAAUUCCAUGUGUAGCGGUGAAAUGCGUAGAGAUGUGGAGGAAUACCGGAGGCGAAGGCGGCCCCCUGGACAAAGACUAACGCACAGGUGCGAAAGCGUGGGGAGCAAACAGG
RNAcentral lists this ribosomal RNA (429 nucleotides) under Chloroflexota bacterium. Its description in RNAcentral is "Chloroflexi bacterium partial 16S ribosomal RNA". It matches the Rfam family "Bacterial small subunit ribosomal RNA", at positions 355 to 776 of the family's 1533-position model. The record is from RNAcentral. Lineage: Bacteria; Bacillati; Chloroflexota.